RNAcentral lists this long non-coding RNA (438 nucleotides) under Coturnix japonica (Japanese quail). RNAcentral's name for it is "lncRNA (ENSCJPG00005003309.1)". Lineage: Eukaryota; Metazoa; Chordata; Aves; Galliformes; Phasianidae. The record is from RNAcentral.
AGAGGCUCCGUCAAAUAUUUGGCCUCCAAUUAAAUAAUAAUAAUAAUAAUAAAAAAAAUUGAAAUUAAAAAAUAAAAAAUAACAGGUGUUGGAAUGAAUUUACAGAACGCGUUUCGAUGGGGGGAAAAAAAAUUAAAAAAAAAUAAAAAAGGAAAAAACAAAAACACGGAAGCAACACGAAAAAAAACCCAGAGAAAGGAAAAGAGGCGAAAUAAACGCAAGCGAGAUCAGACGUGCAGCGCCCACAUCGCACCCCGCACCUCCCGCCAGCGCCGCCGUUUCCUCCGGCCGCUCCCGCUGACAGCGCGCCCGGCCCCGCCUUCCAACGCCCCUCCGACAGCGGCGGUUGACGGUCAGCUCGAGCAGCCAACACGAGAGCGAGCUGCCGUCGGGAGCCGUAGGGGAGAAGAAUACGUAAGUCUGUCUUUCUCACCUUGA